This 496-nucleotide ribosomal RNA is filed under the name uncultured bacterium. RNAcentral's name for it is "partial 16S ribosomal RNA". It matches the Rfam family "Bacterial small subunit ribosomal RNA", at positions 28 to 506 of the family's 1533-position model. The record is from RNAcentral.
GAUGAACGCUGGCGGCGUGCCUAAUACAUGCAAGUCGAGCGAACGGACGAGAAGCUUGCUUCUCUGAUGUUAGCGGCGGACGGGUGAGUAGCACGUGGAUAACCUACCUAUAAGACUGGGAUAACUUCGGGAAACCGUAGCUAAUACCGGAUAAUAUUUUGAACCGCAUGGUUCAAAAGUGAAAGACGGUCUUGCUGUCACUUAUAGAUGGAUCCGCGCUGCAUUAGCUAGUUGGUAAGGUAACGGCUUACCAAGGCAACGAUGCAUAGCCGACCUGAGAGGGUGAUCGGCCACACUGGAACUGAGACACGGUCCAGACUCCUACGGGAGGCAGCAGUAGGGAAUCUUCCGCAAUGGGCGAAAGCCUGACGGAGCAACGCCGCGUGAGUGAUGAAGGUCUUCGGAUCGUAAAACUCUGUUAUUGGGGAAGAACAUAUGUGUAAGUAACUGUGCACAUCUUGACGGUACCUAAGCAGAAAGCCACGGCUAACUACGU